CCUGGCCGUAGUGAGAGUAUGACUUCCAAACCUGCAGCCCUAGCUGCCAAAGCUUCUUGAAAGACGUCUGUCACAAAUAAAAUGUUUGAUGGCUUAUCAACUCCCACUGUUUUAAAAAUUUCAGAAUAACUUCGUGUUUCCUUCUUAUCCCCCACUGUAGUAUCAAAAAAUCCACAGAAGUAUUUUCUCAAGUCACCGUAGUUAGAUUUGGCAAAAAGGAGUUGUUGUGAUUCCCUGCUACCACUAGAAUAUACAUACACCUUAAAUCAGACAAGAAGCAAUGACAGUUAGCCAUGCAAAUCGAUUUUUUUUUUUUCACUCUAUAAGAGAUAAGAUGCACUUCAAAAUAUUCAAUAAUAACUUCUGGCUCUUGAGAUAAUUCAUUAUUUCUUUUCCCUCAACUACUUCAUGAGAGUUACUCAAAGGCUCUUAAAGGAACCAACCACUCCACAAUCAGCCAAUUGUAGCACAUCCCAUCAGCACCUGAAUCUAGCACUUGAUGCCUGAAGC
This 510-nucleotide unclassified non-coding RNA is filed under the name Hevea brasiliensis (rubber tree). The record is from RNAcentral. Lineage: Eukaryota; Viridiplantae; Streptophyta; Magnoliopsida; Malpighiales; Euphorbiaceae.